CGCGUAGGCGGUCAUUUAAGUCAGCGUGUGAAAUCGGUUUGGCUUAACCGGAUCGAUGGCGGUUGAAACUGGAUGACGUGGAGUGCGUGGAGAGGCAAGUGGAAUUCCCAGUGUAGCGGUGAAAUGCGUAGAUAUUGGGAAGAACACCGGUGGCGAAGGCGACUUGCUGGCCAGCAACUGACGCUGAGGCGCGAAAGCCAGGGGAGCAAACGG
This 213-nucleotide ribosomal RNA is filed under the name uncultured Lactivibrio sp. RNAcentral describes it as "partial 16S ribosomal RNA". It matches the Rfam family "Bacterial small subunit ribosomal RNA", at positions 568 to 775 of the family's 1533-position model. Lineage: Bacteria; Thermotogati; Synergistota; Synergistia; Synergistales; Aminobacteriaceae. The record is from RNAcentral.